This is a long non-coding RNA of Homo sapiens (human), 477 nucleotides long. RefSeq lists it as uncharacterized. NCBI's taxonomy places the organism in Eukaryota, Metazoa, Chordata, Mammalia, Primates, Hominidae. The transcript has 2 exons. The record is from RefSeq and is a predicted model, not a curated record.
AAAACAAUUUUCAUGGGGCUUAGAGUUGAAAAACUUGGCUUUAUGGAUCUAGAAUAAACUGUUUUGACUGAAAUAAUUUUGUGCCUUGGCUUGUAAAUCACCUUUUUCCUCCCUUGUGGUCUGAAACAGAUAUAAGAAAGAUUGGAGAACUGUGUGCCUGGCAAUUGCCUUGCUGAAAGGAAGCCCUCAGAAAAAGUUGUUUGAUGGUGAGAGCUGGCCAAGCCAGAAAGACAAACCAAGCGACUUUGAGUGGGGGCUUUGUGUCACAAGGCAUCAGUAGACCUGGAGACUGAGUUCAGGCAAUCAAUCAAUCAAUCAAUCAAUCAGGCCUACAGAAUGAAACUCCAACUAAAAACUGUGGACACCAAAGCUCAGCUGAUUUCCUGGUUGGCAAUACUCCAUGCAUAUUGUCACACAUCAAUGCCAGCUGGUCAGUGGUAGAGGACAAUAAAAGUUUUCACACUUGGAACCUUCUCA